UUUAUGGAGAGUUUGAUCCUGGCUCAGGAUGAACGCUGGCGGCGUGCCUAAUACAUGCAAGUCGAGCGAACGGACGAGAAGCUUGCUUCUCUGAUGUUAGCGGCGGACGGGUGAGUAACACGUGGAUAACCUACCUAUAAGACUGGGAUAACUUCGGGAAACCGGAGCUAAUACCGGAUAAUAUUUUGAACCGCAUGGUUCAAAAGUGAAAGACGGUCUUGCUGUCACUUAUAGAUGGAUCCGCGCUGCAUUAGCUAGUUGGUAAGGUAACGGCUUACCAAGGCAACGAUGCAUAGCCGACCUGAGAGGGUGAUCGGCCACACUGGAACUGAGACACGGUCCAGACUCCUACGGGAGGCAGCAGUAGGGAAUCUUCCGCAAUGGGCGAAAGCCUGACGGAGCAACGCCGCGUGAGUGAUGAAGGUCUUCGGAUCGUAAAACUCUGUUAUUAGGGAAGAACAUAUGUGUAAGUAACUGUGCACAUCUUGACGGUACCUAAUCAGAAAGCCACGGCUAACUACGUGCCAGCAGCCGCGGUAAUACGUAGGUGGCAAGCGUUAUCCGGAAUUAUUGGGCGUAAAGCGCGCGUAGGCGGUUUUUUAAGUCUGAUGUGAAAGCCCACGGCUCAACCGUGGAGGGUCAUUGGAAACUGGAAAACUUGAGUGCAGAAGAGGAAAGUGGAAUUCCAUGUGUAGCGGUGAAAUGCGCAGAGAUAUGGAGGAACACCAGUGGCGAAGGCGACUUUCUGGUCUGUAACUGACGCUGAUGUGCGAAAGCGUGGGGAUCAAACAGGAUUAGAUACCCUGGUAGUCCACGCCGUAAACGAUGAGUGCUAAGUGUUAGGGGGUUUCCGCCCCUUAGUGCUGCAGCUAACGCAUUAAGCACUCCGCCUGGGGAGUACGACCGCAAGGUUGAAACUCAAAGGAAUUGACGGGGACCCGCACAAGCGGUGGAGCAUGUGGUUUAAUUCGAAGCAACGCGAAGAACCUUACCAAAUCUUGACAUCCUUUGACAACUCUAGAGAUAGAGCCUUCCCCUUCGGGGGACAAAGUGACAGGUGGUGCAUGGUUGUCGUCAGCUCGUGUCGUGAGAUGUUGGGUUAAGUCCCGCAACGAGCGCAACCCUUGAGCUUAGUUGCCAUCAUUAAGUUGGGCACUCUAAGUUGACUGCCGGUGACAAACCGGAGGAAGGUGGGGAUGACGUCAAAUCAUCAUGCCCCUUAUGAUUUGGGCUACACACGUGCUACAAUGGACAAUACAAAGGGCAGCGAAACCGCGAGGUCAAGCAAAUCCCAUAAAGUUGUUCUCAGUUCGGAUUGUAGUCUGCAACUCGACUACAUGAAGCUGGAAUCGCUAGUAAUCGUAGAUCAGCAUGCUACGGUGAAUACGUUCCCGGGUCUUGUACACACCGCCCGUCACACCACGAGAGUUUGUAACACCCGAAGCCGGUGGAGUAACCUUUUAGGAGCUAGCCGUCGAAGGUGGGACAAAUGAUUGGGGUGAAGUCGUAACAAGGUAGCCGUAUCGGAAGGUGCGGCUGGAUCACCUCCUUU
This 1552-nucleotide ribosomal RNA is filed under the name Staphylococcus aureus. Its description in RNAcentral is "16S ribosomal RNA". It matches the Rfam family "Bacterial small subunit ribosomal RNA". The record is from RNAcentral. Lineage: Bacteria; Bacillati; Bacillota; Bacilli; Caryophanales; Staphylococcaceae.